This 265-nucleotide ribosomal RNA is filed under the name uncultured eukaryote. RNAcentral's name for it is "partial 18S ribosomal RNA". It matches the Rfam family "Eukaryotic small subunit ribosomal RNA", at positions 624 to 886 of the family's 1831-position model. The record is from RNAcentral.
AAGCUCGUAGUUGAAUUUCGGUAAAUAAAAAUUUAACAUCCAUCUCUAAGAUGUGAUUUAAUUUUAUUUCCUUCCUUUUGAAUACACUCCUUAAUAUUAUUUUAAGGGUUCAGUGUUUCAAAUCGUUUACUGUGAAGAAAUUAGAGUGUUCAAAGCAGGCGUAACCUAGCCUUUGAAUAUAUUAGCAUGGGAUAAUGAAAUAGGACUUUAGUCCUACUUUCGUUGGUUUCUAGGGCUGAAGUAAUGAUUAAUAGGGAUAGUUGGG